Molecule: transfer RNA, 90 nt
Rfam family: tRNA
About the family: Transfer RNA (tRNA) molecules are approximately 80 nucleotides in length.
Source: Rfam
GCCCGUUUGGCUUAGCGGUAAAGCGCAUCACUAGUACUUGUGUCAAACAUUGCUAUGAUGAGAUCCUAGGUUCGAUUCCUAGAACGGGCA